RNAcentral lists this ribosomal RNA (252 nucleotides) under uncultured bacterium. RNAcentral's name for it is "partial 16S ribosomal RNA". It matches the Rfam family "Bacterial small subunit ribosomal RNA", at positions 524 to 776 of the family's 1533-position model. The record is from RNAcentral.
UACGAGAGGUGCAAGCGUUAUUCGGAAUUAUUGGGCGUAAAGGGUGCGCAGGCGGCUUAUUAAGUCAGUUGUUUAAUUCCUCGGCCUAACUGAGGAUCAGCAGCAGAAACUGGUAAGCUUGAGUGUGAGAGAGAGGAGUGGAAUUCUCGGAGUAGCGGUAAAAUGCGUAGAUCUCGAGAGGAACACCGAUGGCGAAGGCAGCUCCUUGGCCUGCACUGACGCUCAUGCACGAAAGCGUGGGGAGCAAACAGG